This 541-nucleotide long non-coding RNA is filed under the name Citrus x clementina. Its description in RNAcentral is "Citrus clementina (C. clementina) long non-coding RNA (CCLE_LNC005196)". Lineage: Eukaryota; Viridiplantae; Streptophyta; Magnoliopsida; Sapindales; Rutaceae. The record is from RNAcentral.
UUAUUCAAAAAAUUUAAAAUUAAUUUUUUUAGUUACCAUGUACAAAAUUUUUCUCUAAACUUUAGGGAUAUAAAUAUCAUUUUCCCUUAUUAAACUAAUAAAAAUUUAAAGCUAUCUUAAACUACUUAUCUCAUGGUCUCUAUGGGAUAAGUUUUUUAAGAUUAAAUGGUGAGUCCCACAUGGAACGGAAGCCACGUUCUUUUAAUAGCAAUCCCAAAAUGAUCCAAACAUAAAAUAGUCCAGUCCCGUGCACUUGUCUUGCCACCGAACGCACCCCGACUACUUUUCACGUUUUAAAAUAUGAUUGAGCAAGUCAUUCUAUGUCCCCAGGCGUUGCUUUAAUAUCGGUGGAGAAAAAAUGGUUGAUUUACUUAGCAAAUCAUUGUGCCCCUAGGGGACUUUUGUUCCCCACGCCUCCGGUUCACACUAUAAAGCAAGUUCUUCACGUUACGCAAUGUGUUUUUUCAAAUGGGAUUCAUUACUUUCAAUAAAAAAAUUUGCAACUUUUUAAAAUGGAAUAUUUAUUUAUAAAAAAAUUUAA